RNAcentral lists this ribosomal RNA (465 nucleotides) under uncultured Klebsiella sp. Its description in RNAcentral is "bacterial SSU rRNA". It matches the Rfam family "Bacterial small subunit ribosomal RNA", at positions 338 to 795 of the family's 1533-position model. Lineage: Bacteria; Pseudomonadati; Pseudomonadota; Gammaproteobacteria; Enterobacterales; Enterobacteriaceae. The record is from RNAcentral.
CCUACGGGAGGCAGCAGUGGGGAAUAUUGCACAAUGGGCGCAAGCCUGAUGCAGCCAUGCCGCGUGUGUGAAGAAGGCCUUCGGGUUGUAAAGCACUUUCAGCGGGGAGGAAGGCGGUGAGGUUAAUAACCUCAUCGAUUGACGUUACCCGCAGAAGAAGCACCGGCUAACUCCGUGCCAGCAGCCGCGGUGAUACGGAGGGUGCAAGCGUUAAUCGGAAUUACUGGGCGUAAAGCGCACGCAGGCGGUCUGUCAAGUCGGAUGUGAAAUCCCCGGGCUCAACCUGGGAACUGCAUUCGAAACUGGCAGGCUAGAGUCUUGUAGAGGGGGGUAGAAUUCCAGGUGUAGCGGUGAAAUGCGUAGAGAUCUGGAGGAAUACCGGUGGCGAAGGCGGCCCCCUGGACAAAGACUGACGCUCAGGUGCGAAAGCGUGGGGAGCAAACAGGAUUAGAUACCCUGGUAGUC